AAGGACUUAAGUUAACUUAAACUAAUAACCUUCAAAGUUAUAAAUAAAAUAAUUUUUAGGCCU
Molecule: transfer RNA, 63 nt
Filed under: China mantispoides
Lineage: Eukaryota; Metazoa; Arthropoda; Insecta; Orthoptera; Chorotypidae
Description: tRNA-Trp
Source: RNAcentral